AAAAAUAACAAAUAACCAUCCACAAGCAAGACACCAAAUUUACGUGGAAAACCCUCUAAAAUUAAGAGGUAAAAACCACAGGUCAAACUCCGAAUCUCCACUAUAUCACUAAUAAUGGGCUUACAAUAAUCCUCUCAAGUUUUAUGCCCUAAAACUUGAGGUUACACAAUAAAUUGAGAUAUUAUAAAUUUACCUUUAAUUAGGUUGAGAAACAUAAUUAACUUCACCACCCGUGUAAAAUACGACUAAACAUAUGAUGUGAGUUUUAAUACAAAUAUUGUCAUCUAGACAAUAUACAAACUCAAUGGGGUCCUCAUUAUAUUUAUUAUCAAUCUAUUUCAUAGAAUAAUGAGGACUACUAAUGCACCAUCUAGGACCAUCACUCUGUUUCUCUCGACUAGUCCCUGCUACGUUCUCAUUUCCUGAAGAGAACAAUGAAAGCAAAAGGGUGAGCUCAACUAGCCCAGUAAGAAAUAUUAUGACUAAGAUAAUGCAGAAUAAGGUAUCAUUAGCCUUCAACAGUAUAACAACUAAUAUAAUAUAAUAGACAACAUGUUUUAGAUAAAAAAACUGCAGCGGAAUAAGCAAUCCAUUAGAAGAGUCAAGUAAAGUAUAAAAUCUAUUAUCUUCUAUGAUUUAAAAAGUUUUUCAUCAACUUUAUUGCUGAGACUCAGCUUAAUAAAUAAAAUCGAAUCAUCCCUGCUACACGGCCAAGGAUAUUCAUGUAAUCAUCAAUGGUCAUGACUAUACCGAAUAAUCCCUGGUCAUAAUCAUAGCAACAACUGUCCACCAAUGAACUACAGGCCAAUGAAGACUUUUACCACAUCAUUCGUCACAUUACGGUCAUGAUUAUACCGAAUAAUCCCUGGUCAUAAGCAUAUCAAGUUCAUCUAAUCACUACAGGCCACAAUGACUUUCAACAUAUUAUAAACAUGAGGAUGAUGACAAUGACAUAAUAAUUCAAUAAAACAAGUUCAAGAAUUAAUUUAUCCAGGAACCAAUAACGUCCAAAUUGUCAACAUGAUACUACUUUGUGCAGUAAAAAUUCAAGAAUUCUCAGAAGAAUAUUUCCAUGAAAAGAUACUGGAUGAAGCGCAAAUAUCAAGGAUAUUCAACUAAUUUCAUGGAGUAUAAAAGUCAAAACUUUAACCAACUGAGUAUAAUAAAGAAUGGAAUAACAAAAGAAAUCACCAGGCAUACGAUAGACCGCACAGACAGGUUAUUCCAACAGAAUAAUAAAUAACGGAACCAGGUCAUGCAUAAAGCACAGACAAGAUUUUCCUACAGAAUAAUAAAUAAUGGAACCAGGUCAGGCGUAAUACGCACCGACAGGAUAUUCCAACAAAAUAAUAAAUAAUGGAAUAACAGAAGAAUUUCACCAUGUAUGCGGUACUUCGCAUAAAUAGGUUAUUCCAACAUAAUGAUAAAAAAUAGAAUAACAGAAGAAUUUCAUCAAGUAUAGGGUAGCCCGCGUAUACAGGUUAUUCCAACAGAAUAAUAAAGAAUGGAAUAACAAAAGUUCUCUUCACGAAUAAGAAAGAAAGAAUACCCCUUACGAGUAUAAAAAAAAAUAUCACUUACAAGUACAAUAAAUAAUAUUCCUUACGAGUACAACAAAUAAUAUUCCUUACGAGUACAACAAAUAAUAUUCCUUACCUUAUAAAGAAGAGUACUCCGACGGGUAGGGCGGGGAUAUACUUGAAGAAAACAUGCACUACACUCAAAGCUUUCUUAAACUCUAAAGAAAUACGCUCAAGAUUAUAGAAGAAGAACUCUCUCUAUAGUUUCUCUCUCUAGAGUUUCAGUGAAUUCGUAAGAAAUAAUGAAGGAAUGAGCUUCUAUUUAUAGAAGAAUGGACUGCAUAGUAACUAAUUCAAGAACGGUCCAGAUUGAUUUACUUUAAAAGGACGGUCCAGAUUUAAAACAAAAUCUUUUAAAUAAAAUAAAAUAUAUUAUAUUUAUAAUCUAGUAAAACGAAUAACUUUAUAAAAGUAUUCUCCUUUAUAUAAAAAGAUUUUACUAUGCAAAAUACUAUGUAGGCACUAUGCAACACUAUGCAUAAUAAAGUAUAAUAUAUUCUAUUUAUAGUCUAAUAAAACAAAUAACUUUAUAAAAGUAUUCUGUUUUAUAUAAAAAGAUUUUACUAUGCAAAACACUAUGCAUAAUAAAAUAUAAUAUAUUCUAUUUAUAGUCUAAUAAAACGAAUAACUUUAUAAAAGUAUUCUGUUUUAUAUAAAAAGCUUUUCUGUUUUAUUACAUUAAUAAUACUAAUAAAACAAAACUGAGUGACUUAUCACAUAAGCAUCAAUAAUCAUUACCGUGUGCUACUAUGCAACCACGCGUAUUACUGUACUUUUAUGACCGAGUAGUUCAACAUUAUUAACGGUAAACUUCCACCAUUAUUUUCAUAAAAUAUUUUUAUUGUUUUCUCAAUCCGACAAUAAUUCUCUUGCGGGGUCCACCAAUGAUUGUGUCGUUGUACGAAUAUUCCCUGAUAAAACGAAUAUUCCCCGACCAAUCGAAUAUUAUAUAACAACUUGCAUACUUUGCAAAAUUUAUAAAUACUAUCCAUAACUAUAAUAUUGUCGACGUUGGGAUUUUUGGAUGUCCCUUUCCGUUACUUGUUCUUUGGUGUUCUCAUUUUAGGUGAGAUUUGUUUGAAAAAACAAGUGAAAAAGGUCCGACAUGUAUAAUGUCAACGAUGGAGUGUUAAGAGUCGCCAGUUGGUUUUUUAAAUGGUUGUACCAACACAACCGAGAAAAGGUUUGCACAUUGACCCAGUGAUGUGACACUGCUAAACGGGUCGGUGAAACCGAGAUUCAUUAGGGUCCCGGGACUUGGUUAUGCGGGGGGAAGGUGUUAGGUACCCCCCGACAUCCGUGUUACAAUGGUGACCGCCUCUUUUCAAGAAACUGUUAUCUGAAUAUGUGUGUGUGGGUCAAUGUGCUGUUAUUUGGAAGUAGUGCGAGGCCUCGUUCGAACCUAUAUACACAGGGUUUGAAUUUAUGUAAAAAUUUAUUUUUUAGAAAGAUAUGGCAGUGAUGUUUUAUAAAAGAGGUUUUUCAAACUCUGAUGCUCAAUAGUAAUUGAGACCUUUUAGACUCCCAUUAUAUUAAGUGCUCGGCUUGAUUGAUUUUAUUUUACGAAUGCGAGGCAUCCGUAUGAAAAUAAUGUACAUAAUAAUGCCGACCUCCUAAUGGGCAUGGAAACUAUCUGAGAAAAUUCAGACACCGCAGAAUAAUUUACAAGCUGCUUACAGCUGAAAAUGUCCAUCAUGGGAACCAAAUCUAGAUCCAAUGGGAUGAAUCUGUGAUCACAUGAUUCCUAGGCGCACAGAAUACUGUAAUUUAUAUGAAAGCAGUAAGUAGGUAUAUAUAUAAAAGCUGUAAAUAUAUAUAUACAGACAUGAUCACCACCCAUGAAGCACCUCCAUGGGGGAUCAGAAAAUGUAAAUAAAGCUGUUAAAGCUAUCAACCGUCACGGAGGAAACUCUAGGCAGGACAAAACGUAAAUAAAGCUGUAAAUACGGUCAACCGCCACGAAGGAAACUCCAGGAGGGACGAAAUGUAAAUAAAGCUAUAAAUACGGUCAACCGCCACGAAGGAAACUCUAGGCGGGACGAAAUAUAAAUAAAGCUGUAAAAGCGAUCAACUGCCACGAAGGAAACUCCAGGUAGGACGAAUAUAUAUAUAUAUAUAUAUAUAUAUAUAUAUGUGUGUGUGUGUCUGUGUGUGUAUANNNNNNNNNNNNNNNNNNNNNNNNNNNNNNNNNNNNNNNNNNNNNNNNNNNNNNNNNNNNNNNNNNNNNNNNNNNNNNNNNNNNNNNNNNNNNNNNNNNNUAAACGCUCCAGACCGAAGUCUAGGCUCAAUCGAGACAUAACUCGAUAAUGUUAGUCAAUAUAUAUAUAUAUAUAUAUAUAUAUAUAUAUAUACAGACUGAAAUGAAACCACAGACCGAAGUCCGAGCAAAAGCAAGCAACGCGACUCUCAACGUAUAGAAGGGUGUGUGCAGAGAUGAAGAGAAAGACUCUAAAGUGUGUGAGAAGGCUUAUAGUUGACUGCCAAAGAAGACUUUUAUAUCUUUAGAGUAGGUAAACACAUACUUUUGUAGGUAUAAAAGGGCUAUAUAUGAGCUCACAGGUGUUUAAAAGGGGAAAAUACACUGCAUGGGGUGAGUGCAGAGCAAAUUGGGCAGGGCUUCCUCGCCUUUUUUCUCUUUGAAAAUCAGCACCCCAAGCCCUCUAUCUAUAGGCAUUUUAGCCGCAGGUGUACCCGUGGCUGAGCCACAGGUGUACCAGAGGCAACCCGGGUGGGCCCGAGUUUUUUGGGUCGGGUCGUCUCAAAGUACGUGCACUUAGGCACUAUAAUGUCCACUCAAACUUUCAGAUGUGAAAUCUGGGCAUCCGUUUGUGGUAUACAGGACCUAUUUCGGACUGCCAUUGUCGAGAGUUGUACGAUGGCAUGGGACUAGAGUUUGUACGAAGUCAUUGAAGAUGGGACGAUGCCCUCCGGUCUUCAAGCUUCAACUUUCAUCUGUUACCCCGCACAAUAGUCACUCGAGAUUGGUUAGUCUUGUGGGACAUUGUUGCGUAGAGAUGUGACGUGGCAUCAUGUUAAUGAUGUUGCACCUCACCGGUGUUAUCGCCGGAUUGGGCUGAUAAAACAAACGUUUCUCAAGCUUCGCUGAGAUUGGACUGUUGCAAUUUGUUGAAGGUCCUCAUUGUCAUCUUUGAGGUGUGCCUGUCUUCCCGAUAUUAUCUCCGGGUUGGUACAUUGUAUCUUGUUGUGAGCGCCGAGAUUGAAGCUGGUUGCAUUUGAAACAAGCAUUUUUGGGGUUAUCGCCGAAACUGCAUUCCUUAGGGUUAUCACCAAGGUUGGUGGCUAUUCCCAUGGUUAGGACUGAGACUGGAUACCUCGGGGUCAUCUCCAAGAUUAUUCGGUCUUCUCCGGUGUGUGUUCCGGUAUUGUAUCUGCAGGCCUCGGGGUUACAUCCGAGGUUGGAAUUGUUACUCCCAGAUUGCGAUCCAUGGUUGAUGCUGAACUUCCGGUAGUAUCCGGUAUGGAUUUGGAUUGUCUUUCAGGGAUCCCUCAUAAAAGACGAAUCUGUCCUCCUGCAAUGUUAGUAACAGUAGUACAGAAAAUUUCGAGUGUCUACAAACAUUAUAUCAAAUCCACACCAUAAUAUUCAAAAAAAUUAUUUCGACAAAAUUAAAUAUUUAGUCAUAAAAUUUGGGGUCUCACAGAGAUGAUGGCGGAUACCCACGAACAACAAAUAGUAAUUCUCUCAAUUUAUUCUUUUGGUAUCUUCUUACUACCAAGCUUAUCUCAUAUAUCAAAUAAGACUCCAUCAUAGUCUUAUUUAUAGUACUCUUCAUAAUCCAUUCCUGUUGGGAGAGUGCAUAUUUUGAUUUGAUGUUUAAAUAUAAAUGUUCAUGAUUAUAUGUAAAGUCCUUAGACAAAUACAUGUACAAGGACUUAGUGAAAGAUCAAAUUUGUUAGGUUGAUCUACAUCUUGAAGUGUAAUAGAUAGGCUUCAACAAGAAUCGUAGUGUAUCAAGCUGAUCAAGAUUACAGAAGCCAAGGCAGAAACGUAGAGAAUCGAGGAUUGUAAUGUACCUGCCUUGAAGGACCUUUUCAGAAAUCGUAGAGUGGUCCCAACGUUUGCCGAGCCAACUCAGAGAUCGUAGUGUGCUCUCGAAAACGUUGUGACGCCACCAAAAUAGGUAUACAUCACCCAUCUUGAGUCGCCAAAUACAUGGUACAAAAUUCAAAUACAACUUAAUCAUACAACAGUCGUGUAAAAUACGACUAAACAUAUGCUGUUAGUUUUAAUACAAAUAUUGUAAUCUAGACAAAUACAAACUCAAUGGGGGUCCUUAUUACAUUUAUUAUCACACUAUUUCACAGAAUAGUGAGGACUACUAAUGCACCAUCUAGGACCAUCACUCUGUUUCCCCCGACUAGUCCCUGAUACGUUCUCAUUUCCUGAAGAGAACAAUGAAAGCAAAAGGGUGAGCUCAACUAGCCCAGUAAAUAAUAUUAUGACUAAGAUAAUGCAGAAUAAUUUAUCGUUAGCCUUCAACGGUGUUAAACUGAUAAAAUAUAAUAAACAUCAAGUUUAACUGCAGCGAAACAAGCAAUCCAUUAGAAGAGUCAAGUAGAGAAUAAAAUCUACUAUCUUCUAUGAUUUAAAAGGUUUUUCAUCACUUUUAUCGCUGAGACUAAGCUUAAUAAAUAAUUCACAUCAUCAAAUCAUCCCUGCACUACAGGCCAAGGAUAUUCUAUAGUAUCACGACCAAUAAUUAUCCAUGCACUACAGGCCAAAAAUAAUCGUGUUUUCUUCAACGGUCCUAAUCAUGCCAUUAAACAAUUCAUCUUUGCACCCUUGGCCGAAGAGAAUCCAUAGCCAUAAUCAUACCAAAAAUUGUCCAUCAAUGUUCUAUAGGCCAAUGAGGACUUUUUCACAUCAUUUGUAAUAUUAUUGUCAUGAUUAUACCGAAUAAUCCCUGGUCAUAAUCAUACCAAGUCCAUCUAUGCACUACAGGCCACAAAUGACUUUCAACAUAAUAUAAACAUGAGGAUGAUGACAAUGACAUAAUAAUUCAAUAAAAUAAGUUCAAGAAUUAAUUUAUCCAGGAACCAAUAACGUCCAAAUUGUCAACAUGAUACUUCUUUGUAAAGUAACACUCAAGAAUGCUCAAAAGAAUAUUUCCAUGAAAAGAUAUUGGAUGAAGCGCAAAUAUCAAAGAUAUUCCACUAAUUUCAUAGAGUAUAGAAGUCAAAACUUUAACCAACUGAGUAUAAUAAAGAAUGGAAUAACAAAAGAAAUCACCAGGCUUGUGAUAGACCGCACAGACAGGUUAUUCCAACAGAAUAAUAAAUAACGGAACCAGGUCAUGCGUAAAACACAGACAUGAUGUUCCAACAGAAUGAUAAAGAACGGACCUAGGUCAUGCGUAAACGUACAAACAUGAUAUUCCAACAGAAUAAUAAAUAAUGGAAACAGGUCAGGCGUAAUACGCACAGACAGGAUAUUCCUAUAGAAUAAAAAAGAAUGGAAUAACAGAAGAAUUUCACCAUGUAUGCGGUACUUUGCAUAAACAGGUUAUUCCAACAUAAUGAUAAAGAAUGGAAUAACAGAAGUUCUCUUCAUGAAUACAUAAGAAAUAAUACCCCUUACGAGUACAACAAAUAAUAUCCCCUACGAGUACAACAAAUAAUAUCCCCUAUGAGUACAACAAAUAAUAUCCCCUACCGUAAAAGAAUAGUAUUCCGACUGGUAGGGCGAGGAUAUACUCGAAGAAAACUUGUACUACGCUCAAAGCUUUCUUAAACUCUAAAGAAAUACGCUCAAGAUUAUAGAAGAAGAACUCUCUCUAUAGUUUCUCUCUCUAGAGUUUCAGUGAAUUCGUAAUAAAUAAUGAAGGAAUGAGCAUCUAUUUAUAGAAGAAUGGACUGCAUAGUAACUAAUUCAUGAACGGUCCAGAUUGAUUUACUUUUAAUCGGACGGUCCAUAUUUAAAGCAAAAUCUUUUAAAUAAAAUAUAAUAUAUUCUAUUUAUAAUCUAAUAAAACGAAUAACUUUAUAAAAGUAUUCUGUUUUAUAUAAAAAGAUUUUACUAUGCAAAACACUAUGCAGGCACUAUGCAACACUAUGCAUAAUAAAAUAUAAUAUAUUCUAUUUAUAGAAUAACUUUAUAAAAGUAUUCUGUUUUAUAUAAAAAGAUUUUACUAUGCAAAACACUAUGCAUAAUAGAAUAUAAUAUAUUCUAUUUAUAGUAUAAUAAAAUGAAUAACUUUAUAAAAGUAUUUUGUUUUAUAUAAAAAGCUUUUCUGUUUUAUUGCAUUAAUAAUACUAAUAAAAUAAAACUGAGUGACUUAUCACGUAAGCAUCAAUAAUCAAUACCGUGUGCUAAUAUACAACCACACAUAUUACUGUACUUUUACUACCGAGUAGUUCAACAGUUUUAAAGGUAAAACUUCCGCCGUUAUUCUCAUAAAAAUAUUUUUUGUCAUUUUCUCAAUCCGACAAUAAUUCCGUUGUGGGGUCCACUAAUGAUUGUACCGUCGUACGGAUAUUCUCCGACAAAAAGAAUAUUCCCCGACUAAUCGAAUAUUAUAUAACAACUUGCAUACUUCUCAAAAUUUAUAAAUAUUAUCCAAAACUAUAAUAUUAUCUCAAAUCCACACCAUAAUAUAAAAAAAAAUAUUUCGAGAAAUUUAAAUAUUUAUUCAUAAAAUCUGGGGUCUCACAAUCUCCCCUCCUUAUGAAAUUUUGCCCUCGAAAUUUACGUACGUACCUGGUAUGUCAAAGAGGUGAGGAUACCUUGACUUCAUUUCAGAUUCUAUUUCUUGAGGUAUAACCUUUGAGUGUUGAAUACGAUCCUUCUUAUCCAAGAUUUUAACACGUAUCUCCUCAUACGUUAAAUCUUCUGCUAUAUCGUUUAGUUCUAAUUUAAUAAUGUGGUUCGGGUUGUCCACACAUUUACGUAACCUCGAUAUGAAAAAAAAACGUUCUGAACACGCAACAUACUUGGCGAUAAAAUGAGUCUAUAGGCCACAGUUCCUACUUCAUCGAGGAUUUCAAAUAGGCCAAUUAAAUCGAGGGUUGAGAUUUCCUCUUUUUGUCGAUUCUUGCUUCUAGAAUAACGCCCUCUUGAACCUUCUUCUUUACAUUCAUCAGCUCCGGGUGUGUAGCUUGAGCGGCUUUAACUUUAUCUAUUAAAGUCAAUUCUACUCGUAUAUUCGUUAUCUUUACGUGGGUUCGUAUAUUCGCACUUGUAACCGCAUACGAUCUUCUACUCAACGCGUUAGCUACAAUGUUUGCUUUUCCUACGAUGGUAUUGAAUGGUACGAUCGUAAUCUUCAACAUCUCGAGUCAACGUCUUUGGCGCAAUUUACGUUCAUUUUAGUUGAAGAAAUAUUUGAGGGUUUAAGAAAUGGGUUUUGUACUGGGGUCAAUACAAAAUUCAAUUUCACGCUCUAGGGGUAGGCUAAGAAGUCUUCAAGAAUACGUCAGGAAAUUUAUUAACAAUAGAAAUAUCAUUCAAAACUGUGACCCUCAUCCAAGACUUGGAUAGUAUGUCACAUUGCUACCUAUCAACUUGUCAUCGCCAUUCAUGACGUCGCCUACAAAAAGUCUGGCUUCGGUGCAUUCGACACAAGGAAGUCAACAAUGAAAGGACCGUGGCUCUUUACUUAUGGCUUGAUAUGAGAAUGAUUGACUUUAGUGGUUUGGUUACUUGAAUUCGCAUAACAGGUUGGUUAGGAAUAUGAAAGCUAACAACCUUACGAAAAUCAUGAUGAGUAGUUAACCAAUCGAUUCCUAAAAUCGCAUCAAAGGCAAGUAUUUUCAAAGAGAUAAGAUUGACAGGUAACGUGAAAGUGUCAAUUUAAAUUAAACAAGAUUUAUAAAUAGUGGAUGUAACAAAGGUUUCUCCCAACUGAGUUUCAACAGAUAAAUCAAAAUCUAGCUUCUCCGGAGUUAAAUUCAAACAUUGAACACAACUAGGUGAAAUAAAAGAGUGGGUAGAACUAGUAUCUAAUAAGGUAUAAACUUCGCAAGAGUUUAUCAUUAACUUACCCGUAAUAACUUCGUUCGGGUUCCUCAACAAACGCUCUCACUUAAACUACUGGAUUUGACUUUGCUAUAGGGUACAUUCCACCCUUAAGUGCUUCUUCACAUUCCUGAUCCAUGAUUUGAAUCAUUACUCUUCGAUCCAUAUCGAAUUGGGGUUGACCGCUCUGCACAGGGUAAUUCCGAAUUCGAUGUUGGAUUCUCCCAAUUGUUGUCCAAAAAGCAAAAUCCAUUUCAUCUAUUUUGGCCUUAUUGGACCGAACGUCUUUUUCUACAAUAUCUACGCGUCGUGCGGAUUUUACCCAUGCAUCAUCUAUUCUCCUCCGUUCAGUUGUUUCUUCUUUCAUCAGAACUUUGAUCAUAGCAUUCUCAGAUUCCAACUCUAAUAUCUUAUAUUCUGUUAAAGAGUGUUUGUGUUCAAGCAUCGCGCAUCAGGUAACACAAUUUUGAAUUGUUACAUCUCUUUGCUCUACGACCGCCUGCCGUUCUUCAGCCUGCUCUUCUAACUCAUGAAUACGAUUUUGUAAUUCUAAAUUUUGAUCAUAAAAUUCUUCUAAUAAAUUAUCCUCAGGUUCCUCUUCUUCAUCUUCUUCCUCACUCUCAGCUGCUACCUCUACAAUUAGCUCGGGUGAAACUAUUAGUUCUUCAUUCACCACGUAGAUAUCUCCAAUUUCUUCUUCGUUUGACAUCACAUUAACCUGGUUAGUGAUUAAAGGUGUCUCAACGGUCUCAUUCACUCCAUUGUGAACAUUUUUAGCUCCCAUUUUCAAACACUGCCAAAAAAAAAACAAUGGUUAAUUAACAUAUCACAUAUUAUCCCUAUACUCUGACCGACCAAUUAAAUACCAAAUAAACUUAGGUAGGUCAUACUAGCGAAGGAAUUCCCCAUCUCUCCCCUCCUAGUUCUUGUCUCACAUCUUAGCCAGGGAUCAUAUCCCUAAGCUUUGAUACCAACUGUGACGCCCCCAAAAUAGGUAUACAUCACCCAUCUUGAGUCGCCAAAUACAUGGUACAAAAUUCAAAUACAACUUAAUUAUACAACAGUCGUGUAAAAUAUGACUAAACAUAUGCAGUGAGUUUUAAUACAAAUAUUUUCAUCUAGACAAUAUACAAACUCAAUGGGGUCCUUAUUACAUUUAUUAUCACACUAUUUCACAGAAUAGUGAGGACUAUUAAUGCACCAUCUAGGACCAUCACUUUGUUUCCCUCGACUAGUCCCUGUUAUGUUCUCAUUUCCUGAAGAGAACAAUGAAAGCAAAGGGGUGAGCUCAACUAGCCCAAUAAGAAAUAUUAUGACUAAGAUAAUGCAGAAUAAUUUAUCGUUAGCCUUCAACGGUGUUAAACUGAUAAAAUAUAAUAAACAUCAAGUUUAACUGCAGCGGAACAAGCAAUCCAUUAGAAGAGUCAAGUAGAGAAUAAAAUCUACUAUCUUCUAUGAUUUAAAAGGUUUUUCAUCACUUUUAUCGCUGAGACUCAGCUUAAUAAAUAAUCCACAUCAUCAAAUCAUCCCUGCACUACAGGCCAAGGAUAUUCUUUAGUAUCACGACCACGAAUUAUCCAUGCACUACGGGCCAAAGAUAAUCGUGUUUUCAUCAACAGUCCUGAUCAUGCCAUAAAACAAUUUAUCUUUGCACCCUUGGCCGAAAGAAUCCAUAGCCAUAAUCAUACCAAAAAUUGUCCAUCAAUGCUCUUUGGGCCAAUGAGGACUUUUUUCACGUCAUUUAUAAUAUUACGGUAAUGAUUAUACCGAAUAAUCCCUGGUCAUAAUCAUACCAAGUCCAUCUAUGCACUACAGGACACAGAUGACUUUCAACAUAAUAUAAACAUGAGGAUGAUGACAAUGACAUAAUAAUUCAAUAAAACAAGUUCAAGAAUUAAUUUAUCCAGGAACCAAUAACGUCUAAAUUGUCAACAUGAUACUUCUUUGUAAAGUAACACUCAAGAAUGCUCAGAAGAAUAUUUCAAUGAAAAGAUACUAGAUGAAGCGCAAAUAUCAAGGAUAUUCCACUAAUUUCAUGGAGUAUAGAAGUCAAAACUUUAACCAACUGAGUAUAAUAAAGAAUGGAAAAAAAAAAGAAAUCACCAGGCAUGCGAUAGACCGCACAGACAGGUUAUUCCAACAGAAUAAUAAAUAACGGAACUAGGUCAUGUGUAAAGCACAUACAUGAUGUUCCAACAGAAUGAUAAAGAAUGGAACCAAGUCAUACGUAUACGCACCGACAGGAUAUUCCUACAGAAUAAUAAAGAAUGGAAUAACAAAAGAAUUUCACCAUGUAUGCGGUACUUCGCAUAAACAGGUUAUUCCAACAUAAUGAUAAAGAAUGGAAUAACAGAAGUUCUCUUCAUGAAUACAAAAGAAAUAAUACCCCUUACGAGUACAACAAAUAAUAUCCCCUACGAGUACAACAAAUAAUAUCCCCUACGAGUACAACAAAUAAUAUUCCCUACCAUAAAAGAAUAGUAUUCCGACUGGUAGGGCGAGAAUAUACUCGAAGAAAACUUGUACUACGCUAAAAGCUUUCUUAAACCCUAAAGAAAUACGCUCAAGAUUAUUGAAGAAGAAAUCUCUCUAUAGUUUCUCUCUCUAGAGUUUCAGUGAAUUCGUAAGAAAUAAUGAAUGAAUGAGCUUCUAUUUAUAGAAGAAUGGACUGCAUAGUAACUAAUUCAUGAACGGUCCAGAUUGAUUUACUUUUAAUUGGUCGGUCCAUAUUUAAAGCAAAAUCUUUUAAAUAAAAUGUAAUAUAUUAUAUUUAUAAUCUAAUAAAAUGAAUAACUUUAUAAAAGUAUUCUCUUUUAUAUAAAAAGAUUUUACUAUGCAAAACACUAUGCAGGCACUAUGCAACACUAUGCAUAAUAAAAUAUAAUAUAUUCUAUUUAUAGUCUAAUAAAACGAAUAACUUUAUAAAAAUAUUCUGUUUUAUAUAAAAAGCUUUUCUAUUUUAUUAUAUUAAUAAUACUAAUAAAACAAAAUUGAGUGACUUAUCACGUAAGCAUCAAUAAUCAAUACCGUGUGCUACUAUGCAACCACGCGUAUUACUGUACUUUUACUACCGAGUAGUUCAACAGUUUUAACGGUAAAACUUCCGCCGUUAUUCUCAUAAAAAUAUUUUUUGUCAUUUUCUCAAUCCGACAAUAAUUCCGUUGUGGGGUUCACCAAUGAUUGUACCGUCGUACGGAUAUUCCCCGACAAAAAGAAUAUUCUCUGACCAAUCGAAUAUUAUAUAACAACUUGCAUACUUCUCAAAAUUUAUAAAUAUUACCCACAACUAUAAUAUUAUCUCAAAUCCACACCAUAAUAUAAAAACAAAUAUUUCGAGAAAUUUAAAUCUUUAUUCAUAAAAUCUGGGGUCUCACAAACGUAGAGUUUGCAACCACAAACAAGUGAAGAUCGUAGUGUGCAAUUCUUUAAGAGAAUUCGUAGUGCUCCUAUUCGAUAGCAUCAGACCAAGCACCAAGGUGACAAGACAUCACGAUCUGGAUCGUAGAGUAUCAUCUGCCAUAUGUCAGAAGCAUCGAGCCCUACCUUUUGUUAGGAGACAAAUUCCAACAAAUGUGGAAUGAGUUUUGAACGUUGAAGUCCUCAUUAGUCCCAACGGUACAAAAGAUAUCCUUAGCAUACAAUGAAAGAAAUGUAUUGAAAAAGCUAAGGAAAGGACCAUAGGACAGAGAAAAAUACCUUUUCAGGUGUUAGGUGAGAAAGUAGACUGUUGUGUCAGUGGGCCAUAAUGCAUAUCAGAAGGUGUGCAGAAAAGUCUCCAUCAAAGCUCAGAAAUGUCAAACACAUUUAAUGACUCAACAAAAGGCUUCAAUGGAUAGAAUUCAAGGAACACAUAUAUGCAGAACAUGUGCAGAUGAGAGAUGCAAGAAAAUAUUGAAUAAAAGUGCACAAGAACUCUCAACGCUCAACUUUACAAUCUGAGAAAAAGAGAAAGCUUGCUCAGCUACUUAGUUCUUUCGAACAAGUGCUUAACAAUAGCUGAGUAGCAACCAUCAAGAACUCAACAACUACCAAUCAACUGAAGUAAGAGUUCCAAGUCAGAAGGAUAUGAAGAGUUCUAAGUGAACUGUGAAGAGCCAAGUCUGCUGGACUUGAAGAGUUCAAGAGUGAACUAAGAAGUUCCUAGACUGCUGGUCUAGAAGGAAUCUGUGUGAUUCAGAAAGUGUAUAAGACAUCCUUAGUGGAUUUCCUACUCGAGGAGUAUAAGAAUGAACUAAGAGCUUUUAAGUGCUCUGAACUACUUAAAACGACUGUGUCUAUUACAUUCUUGCUAUAACUGCCAUAUCUGCCAUAACUGCUAUAAUUGCCUCACUCUCAUUAACUCACUAUCUUAAGGGAGAUUAAAACUAAUAUUAAUUCCGCUAAGUUUUAAUCAUUAUUAACUAACAUGUUAAAUCGAAAAGAAUUUUAAAAUAUCUAUUCAACCCCCCCCCCCCCUUCUAGAUAACUAUUGUGCCUCCGGGAACUAACAAUUGGUAUCAGAGCAGGUUCUAUUAUACAGCCUAUAAAGCUUAAGUAGAUCCAAUGGCACACUUACCAAGCGAAUCAAGGACUUGAGGAGGCAGCAAGCCACUAAUGUGCAACAAAGAUAAAUUCGCAAACUGGAAAGUUAGGAUGCAAGCAUACAUGGACUCAAUAUAUGAAGAUCUAUUUGAGACUGUUCAAAAUGGGCCCUAUGUUCCAACAAAGCUUGCACCAACUACAGACGACCCAAAUAGAAUACAAAUAAAAGUCAAAGAGGAGUGGACAGACAACGAGAAGAGAGCUGUUCAACUCGACAAGAAGGCCAAGACUAUUUUGUUUCAAUCCUUAGAAGACGAUCUGUUCAAAAAUGUGGUCAACAACAAAACAACAACGGAGGUUUGGGAAGCACAACUCAUCAUGCAUGAAGGAACGGAAGAAGUAAGAGAAAACAAACAAUCUCUCCUGACACAACAGUAUGAAAUGUUCGCUCAUGUUUAAGGAGAAAAUUUCACUGCCACCUAUGAGAGAUUCAACGUUCUGCUCAACUCUCUACAAGCUUAUGGAAAGAUCUAUCCAAACAAAGAUCUAAUCAUAAAGUUCAUGAGGGCCUUACCAAGCAGGUGGGAUGCCAAAACCACUGGUAUUAGAGAGUCAAAGAAUCUCCACGAGAUGAUUGUUCAACAGCUAUACGAUAACCUUCUCACUUACGAACUGGAGCUGACUCAACGAGCAGAAACUCUGUCAGAAGGUAGAAAUAAGGAUAAGGGUGUUGCUCUCAAAGAAACUGAAAGUACCUCCAAGGUCAACACUGAAAUUGACUCGGACUAUGAUGAAGACGAUGAUGAAGACCUUGCAAUGCUGGUAAAAGACUAAGAAGGUUCAUGCAUCAUGGCAAAACCAGAAAGCCAAAGAAGGUCAGCAACUAUAGCAGCCAGGAGCAAAUGAAUGAUUUAUGCUACAACUGCAAGAAGCCUGGCCAUUUCAUUGCCAACUGCAACAAACCUCUCAGAGAAGAGCUAAAGAAGAAAUCACAUCCAAAGAAGGAAUACAAAGGCAACAAAAGGCCUCAGAAGAGAGACAAAGAACUUGUAGCUGGAGGAUUGUGAUUCAGACAAUGACUCAACUCCCGAAUCUGGAGAUGAUGAAGAUCCUCAAAUGGCUAAUUUGUGCCUAAUGGCCAAACAUGCAAAGGAAAAACUGAAGUCCAACAUACAUGAAGUAUCGAUGAGGUAUUUGACUUCAACUCUCCUGAUGUAGACAUUAAUGAUUUGAGAACUACACUGCAUGUCAUAACACUGAUCUGCAUCAAUACAUAAAGUGGUUCAGAGUUCUGUCUAAGGAUUAUUCACUUCUUCAAGAGGAGAAAAAGAAAGUUCAAGAAGAACUGGAAAUAACCCUUCUAAGUACUAACUUUCUCUCGAAGCUUGAGGCUGAGAAUGAGAUCUUAAAACAGACCAAUGAGCUCAAUACACAAAGAGAGUCCAAUCUAACCUCUAAAAUUGAGGAACUAGAAAAGACUAUCUCUACAUGGAAUAAAUCCUCAUUAUCCAUGGACUCCCUGCUCUCUAGUCAGAGAAGUACAUUUGACAGAACAGACUUAGGCUUUGGGGAAUCCACCUUAAAGCCAUGUGUGGAACAAAUAAAGGAAACUAACACUAGUAAUUCUUCAAGUUUUAGUAGAGGCAUUAAAUUUGUGAAAUCCUCACAGAAGGAGGAACCAGCCCAACCCUGCUCUACUGAUUCCAUCCAUACUCCAAGGAGUAAAGGAUCUCAUGCUUGCCUGGGUUUCAGAAAAAAGAAGAGUAACCCAUCCUCUACUCACCAACCUCGAAGGAUCGUAGAGUUAAGUAAGACUAACUCUACGAAUCAACUGGGAAGGUACAGUAGAGGUAAUGUAUACUCCUCACAAUUCAUGAAACCCAAGGACAUAUGGAAGAUGGAAAAUUAGUUUAACAGAAGGAUGACUAAAGAACCACAAAAGUCCAAUUGGAGAAUGAAUUCUCUCCCACACACAAGCAUGCAUCAUAUUAAAUGUUUUGUGUGCUAAAAAAUUGGUCACAAGGCUACAAAGUGCUAUUAUAAUUCCAUGCAUGUGAGACCCAAGAUCAAACAGAUUUGGGUCCCCAAGGGUACUAACAAAAUAGGACUCAUGCAAAUAUGGGUACAAAAAUGAAGGUUUAAUGUUACCACGGGAAAAGAGCUCCACGAUCACGACCUGAUAUCUGAACAGUGGAUGCUCAAGGCACAUGACUGGGAACAAAACCCUUUUGUCUAACUACAUAGAAAAGGAAGGUCCCUCAGUCAUCUUUGUAGACAACGGCUCUGGCAAGACAAGAGGAUAUGACUCAGCUGGAAAUGGAUCAGUGUCCUUCAGUAGAGUAGCCUAUGUGGAAGGACUACAACAUAAUCUUCUGAGCAUUAGCCAACUCUGCGACAAGGGUCACAAGUAACAUUCCUCAACAAUCAGUGUCAAGUCAGAGAUUUCAAGACAUCUGCUGUAAAGUUAACGGAACAAGAGAAGGAAAUGUCUACACAAUGAAUCUUGGACAACUAAGCUUAGAUGAAACAAUAUGCUUUCUGGCUAAAGCAUCUGAAGAAAUGAGCUGGCUAUGGCAUAGACGAUUGUCUCAUUUAAACUUCAAAAGCAUGUCCAAGCUGGCCUCAAAAGAUCAUGUUGCAGAUGAAACAAUAUGCUUUCUAGCUAAAGCAUUUGAAGAAAUGAAUGGCAUAGACGAUUGUCUCAUUUAAACUUCAAAAGCAUGUCUAAGCUGGCCUCAAAAGAUCUUGUUGCAGGCCUACCUAAGUUCAACUUCGUCAAAGAAAGGCCAUGCAAUGCCUGUCAGCUUGGAAAACAAACCAGAAGCUCAUUUAAGAGUAAAACUGCCAACUCAAUCGACAAGCCCCUACAGCUGCUCUACAUGGAUCUUUUUGGGCCAAUUCCAAUGACAAGUCUCGGAGGGAAAUAUACUCACUGGUUAUAGUCAACGACUACACCAAGUUCACACGGGUGUUCUUUCUAACAUCUAAGGAUGAAACAAGCCCCCAACUGAUCAUGAUGUUCAGACUGGUGAUGAACGAGAAAGGAGAGAAAAUCAAGGCUAUAAGGAGUGAUCAUGGUAGAGAAUUCGACUUCUUAUAAAUGGACUAGUUCUACACAGACAAUGACAUCAGUCAUAACUUCUCAGCUCCACGAACUCCACAACAAAAUGGAGUAGCUGAGAGAAAGAACAGAACUUUGAUAGAAGCUGGAAGAACUCUACUAGCAGCAGCCCAUCUGCCUGAAUACGUUUGGGCAGAAGCUGUCAACACUGCAUGCUACACUCAGAACAGAUCACUCAUACACUCUACGAUCAAGAAAACUCCCUAUGAACUGUGGAAAGGAAGAAAGUCAAGUGUCAGCUACUUUCAUGUAUUCGGCUGUGCAUGCUACAUUCUCAACAAUGGAAAGCAGUACUUGACAAAGUUUCAACCCAAGUCAGACGAAGGAAUAUUUCUUAGAUAUGCCACAAACAGUAAAAGCCUACAGAGUGUUCAACAAGAAGACACUAAGUGUUGAAGUCUCGAUUCACAUCAUUUUUGAUGAAACAGACUUGGACAAAACAAUGCCUCAAGACACUACAACCGACAGUUCAGACACUACGAACGAGGUCGUCGAGCUCAACACUACGAUCGUAGUACCAGAAAGUGAAAUUGUUGAGCAAGAAAAUGAGAUCGUAGAGAGGCCUAUGCCAGACAACGAACCUCCACACCAAGAAGAAGAAAUAGAUCUUGAAGGCCUAAGACAAGAAGACAUCAGGACAGAUGUCGCAACAGGAAAUAGAUGGGCAAGAGAUCACACUCAAGAUCUAAUAAUUGGAGAUCCGAGUGCAAGAGUAAAAACAAGAGCUGCCACCCAGAAUGAAUGUUUUUAUCUAAGCUUCCUGUCACAAAUGGAACCUAAGAAGAUAGAGGAUGCUAUGGAAGACUCCAGCUGGAUAGAGGCCAUGCAAGAAGAACUUAACCAAUUUAAAAAAAGCAAAGUAUGGAGAUUGGUACCAAGACCAAAGAGUCAUCCUGUUAUUGGAACCAAGUGGGUCUUCAGGAACAAGAUGGAUGAAGAUGGAGUAAUAACUAGGAAUAAGGCAAGACUAGUGGCCAAGGGCUACUCUUAUGAAGAAGGCAUUGACUACGAUGAGACAUUUGCACCUGUUGCCAAACUGGAAGCCAUCAUAAUCUUCUUUACCUUUGCUGCUCACAUGAAAUUCAAGGUCUUUCAGAUGGAUGUCAAAAGUGCAUUGCUGAAUGGUGAACUUCAAGAAGAAGUCUAUGUAGAGCAACCUCCAGGUUUCAUCAAUUCAUCUCUUUCUAAUUAUGUUUAUAGAUUAGACAAAGCCUUAUAUGGUCUUAAUCAAGCACCUAGAGCAUGGUAUGAAACACUAACUAGUUUUCUUAUUGAAAAUGGAUUCACAAGAGGUAGAGUAGAUACGACAUUAUUCCUUAGAAAGCAUAAAGACAAAGUCUUAUUGGUUCAAAUAUAUGUUGAUGAUAUUAUUUUUGGUUCUACUGAUGAAAAGCUAUGUAAGAGAUUCUCCAAGCUUAUGCAGAGCAAGUUUGAAAUGAGUAUGAUGGGUGAGCUGAACUUCUUCCUUGGACUGCAAGUAAAGCAGACUGAUGAAGGAAUAUUCAUAAACCAAGCCAAGUACAUCAAAGAUUUACUUAAGAAGUAUGGCAUGGAAUCAGCCUAUCCCAUGAAAACCCAAUUGCUCCUGCAACCAAGCUUGACAAAGAUGAAAAAGGUAAAAGUAAUUAUAUAACUCAAUACAGAGGUAUGAUAGGCUCUCUUUUAUAUCUAACUACCAGUAGACCAGACAUAAUGUUUGCAAUAUGCAUAUGUGCUAGAUUUCAGGCUAACCCUAAAGAAUCAUAUUUAACUGCUGUAAAGAGGAUUUUCAGGUAUCUCAAGGGUACACCUCACUCGGGGCUUUGGUAUCCCAAGGAGUCCUCAUUUUAACUAACAGGAUACACAGAUGUUGAUUUUGCAGGCUACAAAAUAGAUAGAAAAAGUACCAGUGGCACCUGUCAAUUGCUAGAAAACAGAGUUGUGUCCUGGUUUAGCAAGAAAUAAAACUCAGUAUGUACUUCAACUAUAGAAGCUGAAUACAUUGCUGCUGGCAGUUACUGUGCUCAGAUUCUAUGGAUGAAAAAUCAGCUAGCAGAUUAUGGGUUUGAAUUCAAAUCCAUACCUAUUCACUGUGAUAACACAAGUGCCAUAGCAAUAACUCAUAAUCCUGUCAUGCAUUCUAGGACUAAACAUAUAGAAAUAAGGUAUCACUUCAUUAGGGAUCAUGUGCAAAAUGGAACUAUAUCUUUACAAUAUUUCCCUACUGAAAAUCAACUUGUUGAUGUCUUUACAAAGCCUCUAGAUGAUUCCAGAUUUAACAAGUUAAUAAGUGAGCUAGGAAUGCUUAAUUUACAACCAUGAAAUAUAUGCUCUAGUGUGUGCAAACCAUACAGAUAUAAAAGCUAUGAUUGAAAUCAUAGACAUGAUCAAGGGAAGUCCACGAUCGCAGAGCUGGAGUAACACAAACUCAACGAUCGUAGCACAGACUCAACGAUGGUAGAGCCCCAUCAACAAAACAAAAGAGCAUCCUGUGAUGAAAAAGUUCAAAACAAAGCAACCCCUCUGAUAAGCGCCUCAGGAACAAACCUAACCCUUGAUUCACUCUAUAAGGUUGGCCCUUCUUGAGUUACCUUAAAAGAAUGCUAAGUCAAAAACUCAUCACAAGGAUCCGGACAGACUCAUCGAUCGUAGUUCAGACACGACGACUGCUGGACAGACUCGACGAUCGUAGUUUAGACAUGACGACUGCUGGACAGACUCGACAAUCGUAGUUCAGACACGACGAUUGCUGGAUAAACUCGACGAUCGUAGUUUAGACACGACGAUUGCUGAACAGACACAACGAAUGUUGAGCAGACUCAACGAUCGCAAAGGCUACCUCAACGAUCGUAGUCCUCACUAAGGACACAUUAACUCAGAAGGAGCUAAAGGCAAUUCAGUACAAUCCUCCUCAGUCAAAUUCGUAGAGCCAAGCAGAAUUUGACACCUGCCCCACUAAACAAAAAAAAUGGAGAGAGGGAAACUACAAGUAUAGUUUGAAAAUGCCUUUUUUGAAAUCAGAAGUUCAAAAAGCUUAUCACUCUCCUCUCUCUUUCUCUCUCUCUCUCUCUACAAGAAGAAACCCUAACCUUUAAGAAAGCUUAGAUAACCAUAUUCCUUGCAAAGAAAUCAAUGGCAGCCUCCAACGUCGUCUCUGGCUACAGACUGUGCUUUGAUGAGUUCAUAACUGUUGAACCCAAAUUUUACAAGACUCUGACAUUGAUAAAGAAGGCAGGUCUCGAAGAAGCCCUAGGUAUGAGCACCUGGAUUUACCCGAAGCUGAUAAAGGAGUUUUACAAGAAUGGGGUAUUCGAAUAUAACGUUAUCACCACGAGGGUCAAGGACGUGGAAAUCAAACUCAGAAGUAAGGAUAUCAACCUAGCCCUAGGCUUCAAAAAUGAGGGGUUCUUGAUCAUAAAUGGCAUUGACUUUUAUGAAGGCCUAAAGAAGAUGCAUCACAAGAAAAUCCCCAUGGUCAAGGGAUAUAAGAAAAAGGAGUUUCCUAAGAGGUACGAAUUUCAGGCUGAUAUUAUUGCGAAGUACAUAUGUUACAAAAGCUCUGGCCAUGACUAUGUAAAUGUGGUACAACUCAAGCUCACAACUGCCAUAAGUUGUGGAAUGCAACUCAACUAUGGAGCUCUACUGCUUCAAAUGGAUUGGGAAAUGGAUCACCAGCUCGAAGAAGACAAAGAGCUCUCAAAAGAUGCUCUACGGGCGAUUUAUAAACAUCAUCCUACAGUCUGCUAUGGGUGAUAAAAUUGGGGAAAAUGAAGGAGAAUCCAUCAAUCCAAACCGACGAACAACUCAGCAGCUGUUUGAGAACUAGAAAUGGAACCCAGCUGAGAAUGUACGCAUGAUGUCAGAGUCCAGUGGAAGAACUGGUGAAAUAAAGGAAUUAUGGAUUCCAAGAAACAUGUCAGUCGUCAAAGAGACUGAAGAAGAAGAGGAAGAGACCAACAAGGAAGAAACCACUGCCCUUGUCAAAAAAAGCAAGGGCAAGAGAAAGCUAAAGACUAGAAUGGUAGAGGAACCUCAAGGGUCUACCACUGAUAUACCUAUAGAGUCCUCUGAUAUUGAGACUUUGAGAAUCCUAAGGAGAAAAGAACAAUUGGCUGAGGCAGAUGAAGACAGAGCCACCAUAUCACAGCUGCUGAAGAAGAAAAAAAAUCAGUCACAAGUCCAAGAGGCCAUCUGUCUCUUCGAUCAUAGAGUCUCUACCGAUCGUAGAGACCAGACUGAACACCUCAAGCAAGGAAGUUGCUGCACCAGAUGGCCUGACUGAUCAACAGGACAAAGCUGAAGCUGAAGAAAGUCCUGAGGCUGUGGCUCAGCCUAGAAAACCAAGAAGAAAAUUGGUUAAGAAGUACAUCCUGAUUAAUGAGGAGUACUCAAGGAGGAAGACAAGAGGAUGGCUGCUAAAAAGGAACUGUCCAAAGAAAGCCAAAAGGACAUAACUCAAGCUGAGGGGGAGACACCUGAAGUUCUCACCUUAGAAAAUACUCAAGCUGAGGAAAUACCUGAAGUUCUCAUGAUAGAAAAUGCUCCAGCUGAGGGGGAGCUAUUAGUCCUAUAGAUGGAUGAUCAUGUUGAGGGGGAGCCUCAUGAUAUCCCCAUUACAGAAGAAACUGCUCCUGCAUAAAAUGAGGGACAGCCUGAGCAAGAAAGUCAAAAUGAAGUCAUUGACAUAGUGGAAUCCUCAAAAGGAGAUGGAGAAGAAGAGGAAGACAAAGAUGAUGAUGAAAUUGAGAUCACAGGCGUGGGCCGGGAUGGGUAUAGGAGUUAUCUCUACAAUCAGUUGUUCUCCUAUCUCCCCAUGAUGCCCUAUCAUCAAGCUCAAAUUCUAAACUCCUGGAGUCACAUGUUUUGGAGCUUCAAAGAAUAUCCAGCCAUCUCUGUGCUAGCCCAUGGAUUUCUAGGCAACUUCAACUUUGCCAAGAAGCUGAUAACAAAUGGUCCCUCCUCAAGGAUGGUGCAUAAGGUAUUAUCUAUCCCAAUCCUGUUCAGAGUUAAUCACUAUCCACUAUCUUUCUUCAGCCAUUUUAUGAAUUUCCAAGCUGGUUGGAAGUCGUUUUAAAUCCACCAAGUCAAUCCCCAGUUUCAGAAUCCCAAAAUUCUGUAACUGAUGAACUAAAUGUUCCAAAGUACUUCACAUUGAUCCCAACUUCCAUGAACUCUACGAUUAAUGACUCUAGCCCCAUCGUAGAGUCCCAAGCUCAAAUCGUAGAGCCACCCUUUUCAGACACCCAAACAAAGUCCCCUCCAUCAGAUAUUCCCUCCAUCAGAUAUUCCCUAUUCAUCCACCAAAGAAUACUUCAACCUUGAUCUUACCCUCUACUCCUUGCAAGAUAAAUACAAGAAAACAUCCCCUCCUUUAAACAACCCACAACUCAGUGAACUACUUUCAUAUCUACCCACCAAAGCUGAGUUGACAGAAGUGUCCAAGAAACUGAUCAAGGAAAUCGAUGAUAUCCUUGAAGCUCACUCAAAACUCAUUCAUCUUAGAUUAACAAAAAUGAUCAGUGCUGUAAAUGGUUAAGAGCAUAAAGGACAAGGAUGACAUUCACUUUCUAGCAGCUAAAGGACAAAGAGAUGCAGUUCUUUCCUUACAGACAGCUCAAAAUGCCCAGAACAAACUUAUGCAGGAAAGCAUAAUCAAUCUGUAAAUUGCCGUAAAAGAAUUCCAACAAUUCUAUGUCACCCAAGGACAACAGACUGACAAUGUUCUAACCGUCCUUCGAAACAGGGAAGCUCGAUCUGAAGCUCUGAUCAAGGAAAAUCGAGAGGACAUUGCUCAAACGCAAAGCCAACUUAACGAGCUCAUCCAAGGAGUGACUCGCCUGUCCGAAGACAUUCGAACCUUUAAUGCUGACAUAAAGGGGGAGAAUGAAAGGAAAUGAGAUCAAGGCAAGGGCAAAGGCAGAGGACAAUUCCACAAUCAAUCCUCAAGGAGUCCUCCUACAAGGCCGACUCACCAACAGACUCCACGACCCGGCCAUCAGACUCAACGAUCUAAUCAGCAGGAAGUCUUAAUGGCUCAGCCUAUAAGGAAUCUAGGGCCAGCUACCAGCUCACACAAUGUGACCACCACAGGCCUCAGAAUGCCAAUUGGAGAUCCUGUAUUCAUGAAUAGGCAUGAUCACAAGCCUGGGCUAAGCCCAAGUGAGCUGGAAGAUCUAGCCAAGAGAGAUGAAGCAAACAGGAAAAGAAGGGCUGAGGAGUAUUCCAAUCCUCCACGCAAAAGAUCAAAGAAAUAGAGAUAAGUGAAAGUUUAAAUUAUUAUUGAUGUAAAACUAAAUUGUAAUAUUCUACGAACAUCAAUAAAUUCAUGCUUAUUCUCUAGAAAUUUUAGCUGCUCACUGAAAUACUAAGUCAUGUUUACUUUCCUGCAAAUGCAUCUAGAAACUAAUAAUCAUGACAACAAAUCUCCUUGAUUAUGUCAACAUCAAAUUGGGCGAGAUUGUUGGGAGAAUGCAUAUUUUGAUUUGAUGUUUAAAUAUAAAUGCUCAUGAUUAUAUGUAAAGUCCUUAGAGAAAUACAUAUAUAAGGACUUAGUGAAAGAUCAAAUUUGUUAGGUUGAUCUACAUGUUGAAGUGUAAUAGAUAGGCUUCAACAAGAAUCGUAGUGUAUCAAGCUGAUCAAGAUUAUAGAAGCUAAGGCAGAAACAUAAAGCAUCGAGGAUCGUAGUCUGCCUGCCUUAAAGGACCUUUUCCAAAAUUGUAGAGUGGUCCAACGUUUGCCGAGCCAACUCAGAGAUCGUAGUGUGCCCUCGGAAACGCAGAGUUUGCAACCACAAGCAAGUAAAGAUCGUAGUGUGCAAUUCUUUAAGAGAAAUCGUAGUGCUCUUGUUCGAUAGCAUCAGACCAAGCACCAAGGUGACAAGACAUCACGAUCUGGAUCAUAGAGUAUCAUCUGCCAUAUGUCAGAAGCAUCGAGCCCUACCUUUUGUUAGGAGACAAAUUCCAACAAAUGUGGAAUGGGUUUUCAACGUUGAAGUCCUCAUCAGUCACAAUGGUACAAAAGAUAUCCUUAGUAUACAACGAAAGAAAUGUAUUGAAGAAGCUAAGGAAAGGACCAUAGGGCAGAGGAAAACACAUUUUUAGGUGUUACGUGAGAAAGCAAACUGCUGUGUCAGUGGGCCACAACGCAAAUCAGAAGGUGUACAGAAAAGUCUCCAUUAAAGCUCAGAAAUGUCAAACGCAUUUAAUGCCUCAACAAAAGGCUUUAACGGAUAUAAUUCAAGGAACACAUAUAUGCAGAACAUGUGCAGAUGAGAGAUGCAAGCAAGCAUUGAACAAAAAUGCAUCAGAACUCUCAACACUCAAAUCUAUGAUCUGAGAAAAAGAGAAAGCUUGUUCAGCUACUCAGUUCUUUCGAACAAGUUCUUAAUAGCAACUGAGUAGCAACCAUCAAGAACUCAACGACUACCAAUCAACUGAAGUAAGAGUUCCAAGUCAGAAGGACUUGAAGAGUUCUAAGUAAACUAUGAAGAGCCAAGUCUGCUGGACUUGAAGAGUUCAAGAGUGAACUAAGAAGUUCCUAGACUGCAGGUCUAGAAGGAAUCUGUAUGAUUACGAAAGUGUAUAAGACAUCCUUAGUGGAUUUCCUACUCGAGGAGUAGAAGAGUGGACUAGGAGCUUUAUGUGCUUUGAACCACUUAAAACGACUGUGUCUAUUACAUUCUUGUUAUAACUGUCAUAUCUGCUAUAACUGCCUCACUCUCAUUAACUCACUAUCUUAAGGGAGAUUAAAACAAAUAUUAAUUUCGCUAAGUUUUAAUCAUUAUUAACUAACAAGUUAAAUCGAAAAGAAUUUAAAAAUAUCUAUUCAACCCCUCCCCCCUUCUAGAUAACUAUUGUGCCUCCGGGAACUAAUAAUUCCUAAUAUGGAUUAGAAAUAAUUUAUUCUCCUAAUCAAAUUAGGGAUCACAUCUCCUUGUCUUGGUCACCAACUAAUCUAACAUGUGACGUCCCCAAAAUAGGUAUACAUCACCCAUCUUGAGUCGCCAAAUAUAUGGUACAGAAUUCUAAUACAAACUUAAUUAUACAACAGUCGUGUAAAAUAUGACUAAACAUAUGCUGUGAGUUUUAAUACAAAUAUUGUCAUCUAGACAAUAUACAAACUCAAUGGGGUCCUCAUUACAUUUAUUAUCACACUAUUUCACAGAAUAGUGAGGACUACUAAUGCACCAUCUAAGACCAUCACUCUGUUCCCCGACUAGUCCCUGCUAUGUUCUCAUUUCCUGAAGAGAAUAAUGAAAGUAAAAGGGUGAGCUCAACUAGCCCAGUAAGAAAUAUUAUGACUAAGAUAAUGCAGAAUAAUUUAUCGUUAGCCUUCAACGCUGUUAAACUGAUAAAAUAUAAUAAACAUCAAGUUUAAAUGCAGCGGAAUAAGCAAUUUAUUAGAAGAGUUAAGUAGAGAAUAAAAUCUACUAUCUUCUAUGAUUUAAAAGGUUUUUCAUUACUUUUAUCGCUGAGACUCAACUGAACAAAUAAUCCACAUCAUCAAAUCAUCCCGACACUACAGGCCAAUGAUAUUCUUUAGUAUCAUGACCACAAAUUAUUCAUGCACUACGGGCCAAUGAUAAUCGUGUUUUCAUCAAUGGUCCUGAUCAUGCCAUAAAAUAAUUCAUCUUUGCACCCUUGGUCGAAGAGAAUCCAUAGCCAUAAUCAUACCAAAAACUGUUCAUCAAUGCACUACGUGCCAAUGAGGAUUUGUUUUUCACUUCAUUUGUAAUAUUACGGUCAUGAUUAUAUCGAAUAAUCCCUGGUCAUAAUCAUACCAAGUCCAUCUAUGCACUACAGGCCACAGAUGACUUUCAACAUAAUAUAAACAUGAGGGUGAUGAUAAUGAUAUAAGAAUUCAAUAAAACAAGUUCAAGAAUUAAAUUAUCCAGGAACUAAUAACGUCCAAAUUGUCAACAUGAUACUUCUUUGUAGAGUAAAAAUUCAACAAUGCUCAGAAGAAUAUUUCCAUGAAAAGAUACUGGAUGAAGCGCAAAUAUCAAGGAUAUGCCACCAAUUUCAUGGAGUAUAGAAGUCAAAACUUUAACCAACUGAGUAUAAUAAAGAAUGGAAUAACAAAAGAAAUUGCCAGGCAUGCAAUAGACCGCACAGACAGGUUAUUUCAACAGAAUAAUAAAUAACGGAACCAGGUCAUGCGUAAACGCACAGACAGGAUAUUCCAACAGAAUAAUAAAUAACAGAACCAGGUCAUGCAUAAAGCACAGACAAGUUGUUCCAACAUAAUGAUAAAUAAUGGAACCAGGUCAUGCGUAAAGCACAGACAGGAUGUUCAAACAGAAUGAUAAAUAAUGGACACAGAUCAUGCAUAAAGCACAGAUAUAAUGUUCCAACAGAAUAAUAAAAUAUGGAAUAACAGAAGAAUUUCACCAAGUAUAGGGUAGCCCGCGUAUAUAGGUUAUUCCAACAGAAUAAUAAAUAAUGGAAUAACAGAAAUUCUCUUCACGAAUAAGAAAGAAAGAAUACCCCUUACGAGUACAACAAAUAAUAUCCUUUACCUUUAAAAGAAGAGUAUUCUGACUGGUAAGGUGAGGAUAUACUCGAAGAAAAGUUGCACUACGCUCAAAGCUUUCUUAAACUCUAAAGAAAUACACUUAAGAUUAUAGAAGAAGAACUCUCUCUAUAGUUUCUCUCUCUAGAGUUUCAGUGAAUUCGUAAGAAAUAAUGAAGGAAUGAGCUUCUAUUUAUAGAAGAAUGGACUGCAUAGUAACUAAUUCAUGAACGGUUCAGAUUGAUUUACUUUNNNNNNNNNNNNNNNNNNNNNNNNNNNNNNNNNNNNNNNNNNNNNNNNNNNNNNNNNNNNNNNNNNNNNNNNNNNNNNNNNNNNNNNNNNNNNNNNNNNNUUGAGUGUUGAAUACGAUCCUUCUUAUCCAAGAUUUUAACACGUAUCUCCUCAUACGUUAAAUCUUCUGCUAUAUCGUUUAGUUCUAAUUUAAUAAUGUGGUUCGGGUCGUCCACAUAUUUAUGUAACAUCGAUACGUAAAAAAAACGUUCUGAACACGCAACAUACUUGGCGGUAAAAUGAGUCUAUAGGCCACAGUUCCUACUUCAUCGAGAAUUUCAAAUGGGCCAAUUAAAUCGAGGGUUGAGAUUUUCUCUCUUCGUUGAUUCUUGCAUGUAGAAUAACGCCCUCUUGAACCUUCUUCUUCACAUUCAUCAGCUCUGGGUGUGUAGCUUGAGCGGCUUUAACGUUAUCGAUUAAAGUCGAUUCUACUCGUAUAUUCGUUAUCUUCACGUGGGUUCCUAGAGUCUUUGUGACAUCCCAGAUUUUUAGAAAUUAUAAAUGAGAAUUUUAUAAAUAAAAGUAUUAUUUAUGAGAUAUGUUGGGUGUGAGUAUGUGUAUGUCAUAUAUUGUAGAAUAUGUGAAUUGAUGUGAAGAGAAUGUUAUAUAUUAAUUUUAAUAUAUAUAAAUAUUUAAUUGAAUUAUUUAUUGAGUUAAAUAAAUAAAUUUNNNNNNNNNNNNNNNNNNNNNNNNNNNNNNNNNNNNNNNNNNNNNNNNNNNNNNNNNNNNNNNNNNNNNNNNNNNNNNNNNNNNNNNNNNNNNNNNNNNNUCCAACAGAAUAAUAAAUAACGGAACCAGGUCAUGCGUAAACGCACAGACAGGAUAUUCCAACAGAAUAAUAAAUAACAGAACCAGGUCAUGCAUAAAGCACAGACAAGUUGUUCCAACAUAAUGAUAAAUAAUGGAACCAGGUCAUGCGUAAAGCACAGACAGGAUGUUCAAACAGAAUGAUAAAUAAUGGACACAGAUCAUGCAUAAAGCACAGAUAUAAUGUUCCAACAGAAUAAUAAAAUAUGGAAUAACAGAAGAAUUUCACCAAGUAUAGGGUAGCCCGCGUAUAUAGGUUAUUCCAACAGAAUAAUAAAUAAUGGAAUAACAGAAAUUCUCUUCACGAAUAAGAAAGAAAGAAUACCCCUUACGAGUACAACAAAUAAUAUCCUUUACCUUUAAAAGAAGAGUAUUCUGACUGGUAAGGUGAGGAUAUACUCGAAGAAAAGUUGCACUACGCUCAAAGCUUUCUUAAACUCUAAAGAAAUACACUUAAGAUUAUAGAAGAAGAACUCUCUCUAUAGUUUCUCUCUCUAGAGUUUCAGUGAAUUCGUAAGAAAUAAUGAAGGAAUGAGCUUCUAUUUAUAGAAGAAUGGACUGCAUAGUAACUAAUUCAUGAACGGUUCAGAUUGAUUUACUUUUAAUCGGACGGUCCAUAUUUAAAGCAAAAUCUUUUAAAUAAAAUAUAAUUUAUUCUGUUUAUAAUCUAAUAAAAUGAAUAACUUUAUAAAAGUAUUCUGUUUUAUAUAAAAAGAUUUUACUAUGCAAAACACUGUGCAGNNNNNNNNNNNNNNNNNNNNNNNNNNNNNNNNNNNNNNNNNNNNNNNNNNNNNNNNNNNNNNNNNNNNNNNNNNNNNNNNNNNNNNNNNNNNNNNNNNNNNNNNNNNNNNNNNNNNNNNNNNNNNNNNNNNNNNNNNNNNNNNNNNNNNNNNNNNNNNNNNNNNNNNNNNNNNNNNNNNNNNNNNNNNNNNNNNNNNNNNNNNNNNNNNNNNNNNNNNNNNNNNNNNNNNNNNNNNNNNNNNNNNNNNNNNNNNNNNNNNNNNNNNNNNNNNNNNNNNNNNNNNNNNNNNNNNNNNNNNNNNNNNNNNNNNNNNNNNNNNNNNNNNNNNNNNNNNNNNNNNNNNNNNNNNNNNNNNNNNNNNNNNNNNNNNNNNNNNNNNNNNNNNNNNNNNNNNNNNNNNNNNNNNNNNNNNNNNNNNNNNNNNNNNNNNNNNNNNNNNNNNNNNNNNNNNNNNNNNNNNNNNNNNNNNNNNNNNNNNNNNNNNNNNNNNNNNNNNNNNNNNNNNNNNNNNNNNNNNNNNNNNNNNNNNNNNNNNNNNNNNNNNNNNNNNNNNNNNNNNNNNNNNNNNNNNNNNNNNNNNNNNNNNNNNNNNNNNNNNNNNNNNNNNNNNNNNNNNNNNNNNNNNNNNNNNNNNNNNNNNNNNNNNNNNNNNNNNNNNNNNNNNNNNNNNNNNNNNNNNNNNNNNNNNNNNNNNNNNNNNNNNNNNNNNNNNNNNNNNNNNNNNNNNNNNNNNNNNNNNNNNNNNNNNNNNNNNNNNNNNNNNNNNNNNNNNNNNNNNNNNNNNNNNNNNNNNNNNNNNNNNNNNNNNNNNNNNNNNNNNNNNNNNNNNNNNNNNNNNNNNNNNNNNNNNNNNNNNNNNNNNNNNNNNNNNNNNNNNNNNNNNNNNNNNNNNNNNNNNNNNNNNNNNNNNNNNNNNNNNNNNNNNNNNNNNNNNNNNNNNNNNNNNNNNNNNNNNNNNNNNNNNNNNNNNNNNNNNNNNNNNNNNNNNNNNNNNNNNNNNNNNNNNNNNNNNNNNNNNNNNNNNNNNNNNNNNNNNNNNNNNNNNNNNNNNNNNNNNNNNNNNNNNNNNNNNNNNNNNNNNNNNNNNNNNNNNNNNNNNNNNNNNNNNNNNNNNNNNNNNNNNNNNNNNNNNNNNNNNNNNNNNNNNNNNNNNNNNNNNNNNNNNNNNNNNNNNNNNNNNNUUAACUAGUAAUUAGUAUAUCUAAUAAUUACUAGGAGUUACAUAUAUUAUAUAUUACUAGUAUUGUAUAUUAUAUGUAUAUACUACAAGUUAGUAUGUUAGUUUUAGAAAACAAACCAAAGAAAGAAGAAGAGAGUUAGAGAGAGUUGUAGGAGAAGAAGAAGAGGAAGAAAAAGAAGAAGAAGGGAAAGCUUUGGGAAGACAAAACAAGCCCCAUCAUCAUCAUCUCCAUCUCUCUCGUAAAUUCAUACUAAUAAAGUUAUAAUCUAAAUUCCUUAUUUUAAUUAUAUUUUUAUGUUCUUCAUAAUGUAGAUAAUUGUUAUGUAGAAGUUGUAUUGAGAAAUUGAGAGAGAUAGAGAGAAGAAGAAGAAGAAGAAGAAGAAGAAGAAGAAGAAGAAGAAGAAGAAGAAGAAGAAACUAGAAGAAGGUAACUUCUAAACUCUUAUUUAAUCCUUGAUUUUUUUUGGGUAGAUUUAUGUUAUAGGGUAGUAGAUCAUGCUUAAUCUUGUUUGUAUUUGUUUAAUCUUGGAUUAUCAAGAAUCAAACAAGAGGAUUCAAGAAAUAAAAUGAAAUGGAAAGAAAAUUUGAAUAACAAAAUUCGUAGGUUUUUAGUAAUUGUGGACAUAUCGUGUGAAAUUCAUACCUCUUUGGGUAUAAUGAGUUAGAAAGUGAGCCUUAUAUCAAAUCGAAGAUAUGGAAGUAAGCUAUAUUAUGAAAGUGGAAUCACAUGAAAACUCUUUGUAGAUUUCUUGCAAUGUAUAUUUUAGUAAGGCUGGUCCGAAGGGAAAAUAAUCUGUCCAGAAAAUCAAAACUGUUACGGUUUCUGACUUUGAAAAAUUCAUUUAAAUUCGUGUGUUUUGAAUCUGAAGAAACUUAAAACUGCAAAGUUGUAGAUAUGGAAGUUUACUAGCUAGACUCUUGAGAUUGAGCCAUUUUAUGGACCGGAUCAUGUCCGAAAUAAAUUGUUUAGUAAGGAUAUCCAGAAAAUGAAAUUUUCUAGACUAGUUGAUGAAUUACAGAAUCUGGUUUAGAUGGAUAAGGGUCUGACUUUAAGGCCUAGUGAGGUUGUAGUACACUGAGUAAGGGUUAAUUAUAUAUAAGAAGGAACAAAAACGGACAUGUAACGAAUGAGUUACGUUAAAAACGAAAAUAACGUGUUAUCAUACGACAAAACGGACAUGUAACGAAUGAGUUACGUUAAAAACGGACAUGUUUUUGACAUAUGUAAUGAGUAAAGAUAUGUGUUAUCAUAUUCUAUGCAUAAUUAACCAUUUAAGAUCAACAGUUGAGAUAAGUUAAUGUGUGCACAUAACGUGCUCGAUAAAAUGCCUAAGAGUAAUAGUGUUUUCUAAACUUUGGUAUACAAAGUGUCUAACUAAUGGCUAAUAUUGGAUAUCUAAGUAUGAAAAGAUGAUAAUACAAGAAUAAUAAUGGAAAGAAAUCAAAAAAGGGUAAUUUUUGAUUUAUGAAGGAAAAUUAAACAUGUAAACAAUGUGUUGAAUAUGUAUUUUUUGAAACCAAAGUGGUAGAAUAAAAUGGUGUGAUAUACGCACAUUAAACUACAAGUGUGAUAGUCUAGCAUGUGUGGUGAUGAAAAUGAAAAAUAAAACUGAGUUGCAUAUAAAAUAGUUAGAUGUCUAUAAAGACAUUAUAAAGGAUAAUAAGAUAAAGUAAGGUCUUAGAAUAAAUUUGACCAUGAGAUUGAGUAUUAAUUUUAUUUAUUAUCAAUCUCAUAUACAGUGUAGGUUGUGCAAGGACGCGAAGUAUUAGCGUGUUGGUAAAACGCCGGUAAAGGCAAGUCUUGCAGUUCCUUUUUGCUAUGUGAACUUGAUGAUGAUCUGCUUUAAAAUUUUAGUGUAUGGUGUAUUAUAUAUGUCAAAAGUAUGAAAUGUGAAAGUCAAUCUAUGACUAUGAUGAUUGAACUAUGAAUGUUGAUUGAGUAAGGAACUCAAUCUUUAUAGUUGUUAUGUGAACUAUAACAUGUAUGCUAUGUUUGUUUAUGAUUAUUCUUGUAUGUUGAGCAUGUUAUUAUAUGCUACGUGAUGCAUGAAAACUGUUAGAUUUUGUUGAGCUGUCAAGCUCAUUCUUGCAAAUAACCAUUUUUGCAGAUUCAAGAAUUGAAGGUAACGCUAUGUGCUACUUGAUUGUUAUGGAUCAAAAGUGAUAUAUGAAGAUUUAAUAUCCUAGCUAAAUUGUUAUUCUUAUAAACCAUGUCUAAUGUUUCGAAUAAUGUAUUAAUGUUGUAUUGUAAUAUUGUUUUGCGAAUGUAAACUAUUGUAGUAUUAAAAUGAUUUUGAGAUAUUUAGACGUAAAGGUUGAAGGUUUUGGGAACGAGGUUUGUAAUAUAAAAUUUUAAUUAUUCCGCAAAUUUCAAUGGUUGUAUUAUCGUUUAAUGAUGUAAAAUUAGAGGUUGAAUGUAUUAUUAACAACCGAAGUUGAGAAUUAAAUUGUAUGAAUUGUGGGGUCGUUACAGUCUUUAACUCUAUCUUCAUCAUUUGUAAGUCGUACAAAAUGGGUCUUUGUGUUAACAACAUCGCACUCGUAAACGCAUAUGAUCUUCUACUCAACGCGUCAGCUACCACGUUCGCUUUCCCACGAUGGUAUUGAAUAGUACGAUCGUAAUCUUCAAUAGAUCGAGCCAACGUCUUUGGCGCAUGUUACGUUCACUUUAGUUGAAGAAAUAUUUAAGGGUUUAAGAAAUGGGUUUUGUACUGGGGUCAAUACAAAAUUCGAUUUCACGCUCUAGGGGUAGGCUAAGAAGUCUUCAAGAAAACGUCAGGAAAUUUAUUAACAAUAGAAAUAGCAUUCAAAGUGUGACCCUCAUUCAAGACUUGGAUAGUACGUCACAUUGAUACCUAUAAACUUGCCAUCGUCAUUCACGACGUCGCCUAUAGAAAGUCUGGCUUCGGUGCAUUCCACACAAGGAAAUCAACAAUGAAAGGUUCGGGGCUCUUUACUUAUGGCUUGAUAUGGCAAUGAUUGACUUUACUGGUUUGGUUGCUUGAAUUUGCAUAACAGGUUGAUUAGGAAUAUAAAAGCUAACAACCUUACAAAAAGCAUGAUGAGUAGUUAACCAAUCGAUUCCUAAAAUCACAUCAAAGGCAAGUAUUUUCAAAGAGAUAAGAUUGACAUGUAACGUGAAAUUAUCAAUUUGAAUUAAACAAGAUUUAUAAAUAGUGGAUGUAACGAAGGUUUCUCCCAACUGAGUUUCAACAGAUAAAUCAAAAUCUAACUUCUCCGGAGUUAAAUUCAAACUUUGAACACAACUAGGUGAAAUAAAAGAGUAAGUAGAACCGGUAUCUAACACGGUAUAGACUUCGCAAGAGUUUAUGACUAACAUACCCGUUAUAAUUUUAUUCAGGUUCCUUGUCACGAAAAAAAAAUGCUCUCUUAAACUACCGGCUUUAGCUUGUCUGGGACAUCCUUUGGCAUCACUAUCCCAACUGCACUUGACUUCACCAUACGACAAAAUCGAGCUAGGUGACCUUCUCUUCCGUAAUUAAAACACGUUUUGGAUUGCUGCGUACAGUUUGGACGAAUGUGACCCUCCUGUCCGCAUUUGAAAUAUACGACCGGUGGUCAUUCUUCUUCCUUUGAAACGGGUGCUGGUGCUGCUGUCUUUCUAUCAUUAUUGAACCUUCUCUUCUUGAAAUUUCCACUUCUAUUAUCUUGGCCAUGAUUACCACCGAAAUGGUUACCAUUCAUGGCAUGAUAAUUACCCCCACGAUGGUUAUCAUUAUUCCGAUGACCGUUGCCACUGGUACGAUUAUUAUCAUGUUGUUGGUCGUUGCCUUUUGGUUGUGCUGAUUCAUUAUCGCGCUCCAAUAACUGAGCCCUAUUCACAACAUCUGAAUAUAAACAAAGUUUGUGAGAAAUGAGGUAUUGACGUAUAUUGGGUUUCAAACCUCUUAGAAACAUUCGCGUCAUUCGCUCCUCAUUAUCGACCAAAUGGGAUGAAAACAGAGACAACUCGGCAAACUUAGCAUCGUACUGUGACACGGUCAUAUUGUUUUGCUCCAGCUUGAUGAACUCCACCUCCUUCAUGUGACGAAUACUUUCGAGAAAGUACUUGUCGUUGAACAAUUCUUGGAACUUCUCCCAAGACAUCUUGAGUGUGUCAGGCUAGGUACGUUUUACAGAUUCGCACCAGUAAUCUGCCUCUUCACGCAACAUAAAGGUGGCAAAGGGAACCUUUUGCUCCUCGGAGCAUCCCAAGACAUCAAAUAUCUUGGUGAUCUACUUUAACCACGUCUCUGCCUUAAGUGGUUCUGGCUUUCCCAAAAACUCUGGUGGUCCCAGCUCCUUGAACUGCUUAGCGGUGACCGACCGUGGGUUACCAUUAUUUCCACCUGCAUUUUGGACAGGAGCCGCUUUUGCCUGAUGUUGCAUGAAUUGUAUAAAGCCUCUGAACAUUCCAUCGUUCAUCAUUUGGUCCGUGUUGUUGUUUGCCUGAGGAUUGCCGCCUUCCUGAUGCACAUUAUUCUGAUUAUUGAUCGGUGGAGACUCAACGGUCUCCUGUGCUCCAUUGAUAUUCUUAACAUUCUCGGAUGUCAUUUUCAAACGCUGCCACAAAACAAGGGUUAAUUAGCAUAUCACAUAUUAUCCCUAUACUCUAACCGACCAAUUAAAUACCAAAUAAACUUAGGUAGGUCAUAUUAGCGAAGGAAUUCCCCGUCUCUCCCCUCCUAGUUCUUGUCUCACAUCUCAGCCAGGGAUCAUAUCCCUAAGCUUUGAUACCAACUGUGACGCCCCCAAAAUAGGUAUACAUCACCCAUCUUGAGUCGCCAAAUACAUGGUACAAAAUUCAAAUACAACUUAAUUAUACAACAGUCGUGUAAAAUACGACUAAACAUAUGCUGUGAGUUUUAAUACAAAUAUUGUCAUCUAGACAAUAUACAAACUCAAUGGGGUCCUCAUUACAUUUAUUAUCACACUAUUUCACAGAAUAGUGAGGACUACUAAUGCACCAUCUAGGACCAUCACUCUGUUCCCCGACUAGUCCCUGCUACGUUCUCAUUUCCUGAAGAGAAUAAUGAAACUAAAAGGGUGAGCUCAACUAGCCCAGUAAAAAAUAUUAUGACUAAGAUAAUACAGAAUAAUUUAUCGUUAGCCUUCAACAGUGUUAAACUAAUAAAAUAUAAUAAACAUCAAGUUUAACUACAGCGGAACAAGCAAUCCAUUAGAAGAGUCAAGUAGCGAAUAAAAUCUAAUAUCUUCUAUGAUUUAAAAGGUUUUUCAUUACUUUUAUCGCUGAGACUCAGCUUAAUAAAUAAUCCACAUCAUCAAAUCAUCCCGACACUACAGGCUAAGGAUAUUCUUUAGUAUCACGACCACGAAUUAUUCAUGCACUACGGGCCAAAGAUAAUCGUGUUUUCAUCAACGGUCCUGAUCAUGCCAUAAAAUAAUUCAUCUUUGUACCCUUGGCCGAAUAGAAUCCAUAGCCAUAAUCAUACCAAAAACUGUCCAUCAAUGCACUACGGGCCAAUAAGAAUUUUUUUCACAUCAUUUGUAACAUUAUGGUCAUGAUUAUACCGAAUAAUCCCUGGUCAUAAUCAUACCAAGUCCAUCUAUGCACUAUAGGCCACAGAUGACUUUCAACAUAAUAUAAACAUUAGGAUGAUGAUAAUGAUAUAAGAAUUCAAUAAAACAAGUUCAAGAAUUAAAUUAUCCAGGAACUAAUAACGUCCAAAUUGUCAACAUGAUACUUCUUUGUAGAGUAAAAAUUCAAGAAUGCUCAGAAGAAUAUUUCCAUGAAAAGAUACUAGAUGAAGCGCAAAUAUCAAGGAUAUUCCACUAAUUUCAUGGAGUAUAGAAGUAAAAACUUUAACCAACUGAGUAUAAUAAAGAAUGGAAUAACAAAAGAAAUCACCAGGCAUGCGAUAAACUGCACAGACAGGGUAUUCCAAUAGAAUAAUAAAUAACGGAACCAGGUCAUCAAUACCACGCGUAUUACUGUGUGCUACUAUGCAACCACGCGUAUUACUGUACUUUUACUACAGAGUAGUUCAAUAGUUUUAACGGUAAAACUUCCGCCGUUAUUUUCAUAAAAAUAUUUUUGUUGUUUUCUCAAUCCGACAAUAAUUUCGUUGUGGGAUCCACCAAUGAUUGUACCGUCGUACGAAUAUUCUCUGACAAAAAGAAUAUUCCCCGAUCAAUCGAAUAUUCUACAACAACUUGCAUUCUUUGUAAAAGUUAUAAAUAUUACCCACAACUAUAACAUUAUCUCAAAUCCACACCAUAAUAUUCAAAAAAAUAUUUAGAGAAAAUUAAAUCUUUAUUCAUAAAAUCUGGGGUCUCACAUAACACAUAAAUUCUUUUUCAACGUGGAUUCUUUUCAUAGAAUCUCCAAUUCAAAUAUUGCUUCUAUUAACCCAAUUUCUAAUUGGAUUAAUAUCAAGUAAACCCACUUACUUGUUCACAAAGAAAAUUAAUUCUUUUCUAUCUUGGAUUCUAUCUCAUGGGUGAGGACCCACACCCAACAAUCUCCCCCUCCGAACCCAUGAGAGAAGGGAUCACCAACCACAACUCCUUACUCGGAGUCAAUUCCAACGAAGUCUUGGCUCAACUCAAGUUUCUUGGAAUUUUAAAAUAUCUUCAUGUCUGGCUUUGUCUCAUCGGCAUGGUUCUUCUCAAUGGGAGGAUCUAACUCAAACUUGACAGAUUUUUGCUUGCCAAAUUCAUUCACAACCGCUUUGUACAUUGGCUGCGAGCUAUCACUUUCUUUCUUCACUUUUGGUACCCAUUUAAAGCAAAGAGCUUUUCUCUUGUAGUUCUCAUGCAAGGCUUUUCUCCCAUCUCGGACGGUUUUGUACCACACCUUUUUCUGCCUAACUCCCCCAUCUUCAACACCUCUCACAUGCGCCCACAUCGUAUAAAUAGUGUUUACCUUCUUACCUCUAGUCACCACUAGAGACCCUUUGGUGAGCUUCCAUUAACCUUCACUAAAGUAACUUUUAUAACCAUUCUCAUCAAACUUACCAGCAGAGAUCAAAUUAAAACGAAUAUCCGGAACAUGUCUGACUUUUCUCAGCAUUAACUUGCAACCACUGUUAGUUUCCAAACAAAUAUCUCCAAUUCCUAUAAUCUUGGAUGCACUUCUGUUUCCCAUCCGCACAUGGCCAAAAUCACCACUACUAUAGGAUGUGAAGAUUUCACCACGCGAAGUAGCAUGGAAUGAAGCACCCGAAACAAUAAUCCAAUCAUUAACAUGGCACUUGGGUUUAUCAGCACAAACAAUAGUUGCAUCAACGUCGGAUAGAUACACAAUCAAAUCUUUAUCCUCACCUUUUUCCUUAGACUGCUCCUUUAAAAAUCUGCACUCUCUUCUUAUGUGACCUAGCUUCUGGCAGUGAAAACAAAUUACUUCUUUUCUAUCUCUUGACCUUCCCCUGGAUUUGUCAUCUUUAGGAGAGUUUCUCCCUUUGUUUUUGCCCCUACUCUGUGUGACAAAAACUUAUGAAUCAACACUAAUCACCAUAGUAUCUCUUCACCUCUGUUCCUCGUUAAACAAAUUAUCCUUAACUAUAUCCAUAGUCAGCUUGCCAUUAGGAGCGGAGUUACUCAACGAUACAACCAACAUCUCCCAGCUAUCAGGCAAAGAGCUCAACAACAACAAAGCCUGCAUCUCAUCGUCAAUUACCAUCUUCAUCGUACUCAACUGAUUUAUCAAACUCUGAAAAUCACUCAAGUGUUCUGCAACGGCGUUUCCAUCCUUGAAUUUAGAAUUCACAAGCUUCUUAAUCAAAAAAGCUUUAUUUUGCGCCGUCUUCCUUUCAUACAUGGACUCCAAUUUCUAUCAGAGAGCAUAGGCUUUAGUUUCUGUGGCAAAAUGAUGAAACACACUUUGAUCAAUCCACGAUCUGAUCAGACCAAUAGUGUUUCUGUUCAUCUUGUUCCACUGCGCGUCACUCUUGUUUGUGGGCUUAACUCCAUCGUUAUCAAGUGGCUCAUACAAAUCCUAACAAUAAAGCAAAUCCUCCAUUCUUGGCUUCCAAAUUGCAUAAUUUUUAGCCUUACGAUUAAUCAUGCAACCUACUGUCCAAUCCUCCAUUUAAUUCGCACAAGAAAACCACAAAAAUAACCAAGCUCUGAUACCACUGUUGGGAAAAGUACGCCAAAAAUAAUCUAUAUCCCAGGAAUUACUUUUCUGUCUUUGUGCAAUUAAAUAUGAAAUCAACAAAACCAAUUAUGAGAACAAAAAUAACAAAUAACCAUCCACAAGAAAGACACCAAAUUUACGUGGAUAACCCUCUAAAAUUAAGAGGUAAAAACCACGGUCAAACUCCGAAUCUCCACUAUAUCACUAAUAAUGAGCUUACAAUAAUCCUCUCAAGUUUUAUGCCCUAAAACUUGAGGUUACACAAUAAAUUGAGAUAGUAUAAAUUUACCUUUAAUUAGGUUGAGAAACCUAAUUAACU
This 38123-nucleotide long non-coding RNA is filed under the name Panax ginseng (ginseng). RNAcentral's name for it is "long non-coding RNA (PGIN_LNC006912)". Lineage: Eukaryota; Viridiplantae; Streptophyta; Magnoliopsida; Apiales; Araliaceae. The record is from RNAcentral.